AAUAAGCGGAGGAAAAGAAACCAACAGGGAUUGCCUCAGUAACGGCGAGUGAAGCGGCAACAGCUCAAAUUUGAAAUCUGGCUCUUUCAGGGUCCGAGUUGUAAUUUGUAGAAGAUGUUUCGGGCGCGGGGCCGGUCUAAGUCCCUUGGAAAAGGGCGUCGCAGAGGGUGAGAAUCCCGUAUGUGACCGGUGACCAAGUCCAUGUGAAACUCCUUCGACGAGUCGAGUUGUUUGGGAAUGCAGCUCAAAAUGGGUGGUAAAUUUCAUCUAAAGCUAAAUACCGGCCAGAGACCGAUAGCGCACAAGUAGAGUGAUCGAAAGAUGAAAAGCACUUUGGAAAGAGAGUUAAAAAGUACGUGAAAUUGUUGAAAGGGAAGCGCUUGCAACCAGACCUGCCCGCGGACGCUCCACGGGGGUUCUCCCCCGCGCAUUCGUUCGUGAACAGGCCAGCAUCGGUUUUGGUGGCCGGAUAAAGGCCCCGGGAAUGUAGCUUCCCUCGGGAAGUAUUAGAGCCCGGGGUGCAAUACGGCCAAUCGGGACCGAGGAUCGCGCUUCGGCUAGGAUGCUGGCGUAAUGGCUGUAAGCGACC
This 589-nucleotide ribosomal RNA is filed under the name Lecania aipospila. RNAcentral describes it as "LSU rRNA". It matches the Rfam family "Eukaryotic large subunit ribosomal RNA", at positions 45 to 649 of the family's 3401-position model. The record is from RNAcentral. Lineage: Eukaryota; Fungi; Ascomycota; Lecanoromycetes; Lecanorales; Ramalinaceae.